ACGAACGCUGGCGGCGUGCCUAAUACAUGCAAGUCGAGCGGACGGAUGGGAGCUUGCUCCCAGACCAUCAGCGGCGGACGGGUGAGUAACACGUGGGCAACCUGCCUGUAAGACUGGGAUAACUCCGGGAAACCGGGGCUAAUACCGGAUAACUCUUUCCCUCACAUGAGGGAAAGCUGAAAGAUGGCAUCUCGCUAUCACUUACAGAUGGGCCCGCGGCGCAUUAGCUAGUUGGUGAGGUAACGGCUCACCAAGGCGACGAUGCGUAGCCGACCUGAGAGGGUGAUCGGCCACACUGGGACUGAGACACGGCCCAGACUCCUACGGGAGGCAGCAGUAGGGAAUCUUCCGCAAUGGACGAAAGUCUGACGGAGCAACGCCGCGUGAGUGAUGAAGGUUUUCGGAUCGUAAAACUCUGUUGUCAGGGAAGAACAAGUACCGGAGUAACUGCCGGUACCUUGACGGUACCUGACCAGAAAGCCACGGCUAACUACGUG
Molecule: ribosomal RNA, 497 nt
Filed under: uncultured bacterium
Lineage: Bacteria
Description: partial 16S ribosomal RNA
Rfam family: Bacterial small subunit ribosomal RNA
Source: RNAcentral